RNAcentral lists this ribosomal RNA (253 nucleotides) under uncultured bacterium. RNAcentral describes it as "partial 16S ribosomal RNA". It matches the Rfam family "Bacterial small subunit ribosomal RNA", at positions 524 to 776 of the family's 1533-position model. The record is from RNAcentral.
UACGGGGGGGGUAAGCGUUGUCCGGAAUUAUUGGGCGUAAAGAGCUCGUAGGCGGUUUGUCACGUCUGCUGUGAAAUCCCGAGGCUCAACCUCGGGCCUGCAGUGGGUACGGGCAGACUGGAGUGCGGUAGGGGAGAAUGGAAUUCCUGGUGUAGCGGUGGAAUGCGCAGAUAUCAGGAGGAACACCGAUGGCGAAGGCAGUUCUCUGGGCCGUAACUGACGCUGAGGAGCGAAAGCGUGGGGAGCGAACAGG